GCGGGAGUGGCGAAAUUGGUAGACGCAUCAGAUUUAGAUUCUGACGCCAUUGGUGUGCGAGUUCAAAUCUCGCCUCCCGCA
This 81-nucleotide transfer RNA is filed under the name Candidatus Providencia siddallii. Its description in RNAcentral is "transfer RNA Leucine". It matches the Rfam family "tRNA". Rfam says of the family: Transfer RNA (tRNA) molecules are approximately 80 nucleotides in length. Their secondary structure includes four short double-helical elements and three loops (D, anti-codon, and T loops). Lineage: Bacteria; Pseudomonadati; Pseudomonadota; Gammaproteobacteria; Enterobacterales; Morganellaceae. The record is from RNAcentral.